GAUGAACGCUGGCGGCGUGCCUAAUACAUGCAAGUCGAGCGAACGGACGAGAAGCUUGCUUCUCUGAUGUUAGCGGCGGACGGGUGAGUAACACGUGGGUAACCUACCUAUAAGACUGGGAUAACUUCGGGAAACCGGAGCUAAUACCGGAUGAUAUUUUGAACCGCAUGGUUCAAAAGUGAAAGACGGUCUUGCUGUCACUUAUAGAUGGAUCCGCGCUGCAUUAGCUAGUUGGUAAGGUAACGGCUUACCAAGGCAACGAUGCAUAGCCGACCUGAGAGGGUGAAUGGCCACACUGGAACUGAGGCACGGCCCAGACUCCUACGGGAGGCAGCAGUAGGGAAUCUUCCGGAAUGGGGGAAAGCCUGACGUAGCAACGCCGCGUGAGGGAUGAAGGUCUUCGGAUCGUAAAACUCUGUUAUUAGGGAAGAACAUAUGUGUAAGUAACUGUGCAGAUCUUGACGGUACCUAAUCAGAAAGCCACGGCUAACUACGUG
RNAcentral lists this ribosomal RNA (497 nucleotides) under uncultured bacterium. RNAcentral describes it as "partial 16S ribosomal RNA". It matches the Rfam family "Bacterial small subunit ribosomal RNA", at positions 28 to 507 of the family's 1533-position model. The record is from RNAcentral.